GCCUAGGUGGCUCAGUCGGUUAAGCAUCUGACUUCAACUCAGGUCAUGAUCAGAGUUUGAGCCCUGCGUUGGCU
This 74-nucleotide transfer RNA is filed under the name Felis catus (domestic cat). It matches the Rfam family "tRNA". Rfam says of the family: Transfer RNA (tRNA) molecules are approximately 80 nucleotides in length. Their secondary structure includes four short double-helical elements and three loops (D, anti-codon, and T loops). Lineage: Eukaryota; Metazoa; Chordata; Mammalia; Carnivora; Felidae. The record is from Rfam by way of RNAcentral.